GGGAAUUGCGUAUGCGGGCGUGUCUCUUGGACUCUAGAGCUGGUGAACCCAGGGCUGCUUCGGGCUGGAGUGACCCUUCCAAAGGUGCUGGACUAAGACCAUGCUGAAGUACAGGGUACCAAGAGCAAUGUUGGCCCAUACAGGGUUUGGACACAGCAACUGGAAACAGAAUCCGAAUUUUGUUCAGAUAUCCAUCCCUCGGGAAAAAGGACUCUAUAUCCAGUAUGACUGGCCAAGCCAAUCACAGUGAUUCUACUCCUUUUGUGUCUGGAUGUGAUGCCUGGAACCAUGGAAGUCGUCAUGUGAUCAGGAGGAAAGCCAGCUUAGGAAAGCCUACAGUUGGAAGUUGGAAGAGCAUGAGGGUAGAAAAAACUUGGAACCUUGAUGAACUAAUUAACCAAUCCUGAAAAGUUCCCUAUAUCUAGACUGCUUGUUUUAUGAGAUAAUAAAUUUUCCUUAUUGUUUUA
Molecule: long non-coding RNA, 467 nt
Organism: Phyllostomus hastatus (greater spear-nosed bat)
Lineage: Eukaryota; Metazoa; Chordata; Mammalia; Chiroptera; Phyllostomidae
Exons: 4
Source: RefSeq, a predicted model, not a curated record